RNAcentral lists this ribosomal RNA (465 nucleotides) under uncultured bacterium. RNAcentral describes it as "partial 16S ribosomal RNA". It matches the Rfam family "Bacterial small subunit ribosomal RNA", at positions 338 to 795 of the family's 1533-position model. The record is from RNAcentral.
CCUACGGGAGGCAGCAGUGGGGAAUUUUGGACAAUGGGCGCAAGCCUGAUCCAGCUAUUCCGCGUGUGGGAAGACGGCCUUCGGGUUGUAAACCACUUUUGUCGAGAACGAAAAGUCUAUUGAUAAUACCGAUAGAUGAUGACGGUACUCUAAGAAUAAGCACCGGCUAACUACGUGCCAGCAGCCGCGGUAAUACGUAGGGUGCGAGCGUUAAUCGGAAUUACUGGGCGUAAAGGGUGGGCAGGCUGUAUUGCAAGAUGGAUGUGAAAGCCCCGGGCUUAACCUGGGAAAUGCAUACAAGACUGCAAGACGAGAGUGCGUGAGAGGGAGGUGGAAUGCGAAGUGGAGCAGUGAAAUGCGGAGAUAUUUGGAAGAACACCGAUGGCGAAGGCAGCCCCCUGGGACGCAACUGACGCUGAUGCACGAAAGCGUGGGGAGCAAACAGGAUUAGAGACCCCUGUAGUC